RNAcentral lists this ribosomal RNA (241 nucleotides) under Staphylococcus epidermidis NIH05001. RNAcentral describes it as "partial 23S ribosomal RNA". It matches the Rfam family "Bacterial large subunit ribosomal RNA", at positions 2682 to 2925 of the family's 2925-position model. The record is from RNAcentral. Lineage: Bacteria; Bacillati; Bacillota; Bacilli; Caryophanales; Staphylococcaceae.
UACGAGAGGACCGGGAUGGACAUACCUCUGGUGUACCAGUUGUCGUGCCAACGGCAUAGCUGGGUAGCUAUGUAUGGACGGGAUAAGUGCUGAAAGCAUCUAAGCAUGAAGCCCCCCUCAAGAUGAGAUUUCCCAACUUCGGUUAUAAGAUCCCUCGAAGAUGACGAGGUUAAUAGGUUCGAGGUGGAAGCGUGGUGACACGUGGAGCUGACGAAUACUAAUCGAUCGAAGACUUAAUCAA